CGGGAAGUCUGUGGCGCCGCUGGAGGCGGCGGGUGCUGGUCAGGAGGACGUUGAUCGCACGCGGAGCUUCGCCUUUACUCGUUCAGUCGAAUAAGCCAACGCGGCCGCCUGCUGCGGCUUCACAUCAGCAUGAAGGUACGUCGCGAGUUGGGAGGAGGGCGUAACAUCUCUGGUCGUAGCAUGAACGCUCCAAAGUAGUGCUGGGAAGGGCUGGAUUUCAGAAGAGGGAAAGUGAACCUGUGUCACUCCUCAGGUGUUGCACCUUGGUAAUUUUAAGCUGGUCUUUUUUUAUGUUGCCCCACACUCUCAAAACUCCUCAGUUCCCGAAAGGCUCGUUUCUGCUGCAGGCGCAGUGUGUAACCACGGCUCAGUAAUCCCUGAUCACCGGCCUUGCAGGCACGGCAGGUGCAGCCCAUGGGGACUAGAGCUGUCCUGUGCUUGAUUGUGAGGAGACACAGCUCAGAUGUAGGAAUCCAAAGGCACGUUGUUUUCCCCACAUCACUAAGCCCAACACAGAAGCCCCCAGCGAUGCCAGCAUCUCCCCGUGCUUCCAUCACCUCCUCGCAGGCUGUGGCACAGCAGAGCUCCAAAGACAGAAGAGGAGCAGCAUUCUAGCAGCACACACCUGGGGCUCUGCGGGCAGCAGCCCUUACACUGAGCACAGGGAAGCACUGCGGCUUCACCUGUUUGCCUUAUCAGAAGUCAUUGUUAUCUCAUGGGAUCUGUUUUAAAAUAUCUUAAAUCUCCUUACAAAAAUCCUCAAGAAAAUACACUUUUUAAUGCUGGCUAGGGAUUGCGCCUGCUGGGAGCACUUUCUGUCCAGCUGUUCUCAGUAUUCACUCUGAAGCGUCCUAUCACAGGGGCAGCUGGUGGGCAAUAAGCAGGUAUUCCAUUAGACUCUUAUGUUUAUUCGAGUGCAUGAACUCUUACGGAUUCUCAGUAGGUUAGUAGCAGCUGAAAUGUCAGUAUUAUGUCUGGUACAUUAUAAGUGGGGCAGUUUGGCCUCAGUACUGAAGCCUGGAUGUAUCUCACUUUUAAUGGAGAAAGUCUGACAAAAGUAUUUCCUAUUUUAGGACUGAUCUAUUUUUAAUAAUCCAUGCUUUAUAAUGAAUUCCUGAUCCUUUUUUAUUUCAGUAUCACUUAAAAUCUUGGAGUACAUUACACACCGAUAACACUAUCUGCUCUAAGCUUAACAACACUGGGUGCUCCUGGCAUCUGCUCUAAGCUUAACAGCACUGGGUGCUGUGGAUCUCUCCUAGUGUUACUGCAGCAGAACUACAGUUCCCUAAGUUUGCCAGUACAGCAAGGUUUCUGAUGUCAUAUGCCAGAAUACUCAGUGAGCAUAUGGGCUUUUCCUUACACAGGAAAACUGGAUUGCUUUUGCUUACUAAAGCAAUCCACUAAAAGUCCUUCUAUUCUAGGAGUUUGGAAGCGUAUUUGUGCCUUUCAGAGCUUGAAGUCUCCUUGGAGCAAUGCUUCAGGGUCAUUCCCGUCACUCAGAGGGAACCCACCACAGCACCCACGAAUGCUCUCAGCUCCCCCCAGACUAAAUGUGCAGAGUCAUUGCAUGGUACUCGGCUCCCUGGCAAGUGGGACAUUUCCCUGCUGUUCAAUGAACUGAGUGUAAGCAUAAAUUCUGCCUUUGCACACUUGGUUGCUAUUUAAAGUCACAGUAUCACUCAUCAGGGAAAUUACUUUCCAAAAUGUGCCCCUCUCUAUACAGCAAAGGGAGGAGAUCUACAACAGUGCAGGAAAAAAAGCUGGGGAUGGUGGUGAAGCUUCUGUGGCACAGACACUGAGCUGCCUUUUCAUGGUAUCAAGAUCACUCCUGCCAAGCCUCAAUUCAAGUUAGUUUUCAUUGGGUCUGCUAUUGUAAAAAUGCACUGGAAGGAGUAAUGUGCCCCAAAAAUCUGUUAUCUAACUGGAAGUCCAGCCAUGGUUCACACUGAAAGAAAAAUUAAAAAUCAGCUUUAUUAUUACAAGGCUCUUAAAUUAGAUUAUUUCUGAUCUUAACUGUAGAUACCAACAGGAGGAAGUACUGGCUAGCUACAGAUGAAAUACUUAAAGGAGAAAAAGUCAGUAUUCCCAUUUAGAAAAUUCUAUAGCAGUGGAUAUUGGACACUUGCCAUUUUCAAUACACUUUUCUAUAUUUUUAAUGCUCCCAAUCCAUUCUGUGUGGGAUUUGGGGCUCACCCCCUUCCCCGAGGCAGCAGGGCCAGUGCAGUACUGCUAUGGGGAAGUUUUGUCCUCACAGCACCUCUGUAAGCGUGAGCAGUGGGGCUGCUCCAGCCUAUAGCACGGCGCCGUAUUUUUAGAUCCUCAGCUCACAUUUCAGUGAACAUGAAGUAUCUUUGUGUGUCAACAGACCCAAAAUGUCUCCCAAUGGAGCGUGAAGCAUGUCGACGUAGCAGGGACGUAAUCUGGGCAGUUUGUGGAAGCUUACGUCAUUAAAUCUAUCACUGGAAUGUGUUUGAUGUACAGCAAAUUCAGAUGUUUUUCUUUCCUGGGAAGUCAUAGUGUGUGAGGGAGCUGGGAUGGCAAGGAGGGGAGGGCUGGUACCUGGGCAAGACAUGAAUUAGGGAACUUUCAGUUCAGCUUGUUGAAGGUCUUCGUAAGGCCUGAGCUUGUGCCCAGCCACUGUCCUUCAUCUGUCAGUGAGGAGCCCAUGGGACCAAGCCCUGGCUUUGUGGGCAGCCCAAGCACAGGAGCUGUGGAGGAGGACAGAACGGUGGAGCCUACCUGCAGACUGUCAGCUUUUUGUGUGCUCAGGAAUUGGGAAGCUCCUGGAGGUGCCCUGCUGCGGGGUGCUGCAGGCUCCAGUUAUUGGGGAACCAUUGCACAGGAUCCCAUCUACACUUCUGUGUCAUCACUAAAGCUGUUUUCUUCCUCCCACCUCUCUGUAGAAGGCUUCCCAAAGCUCUAUUGCUCCAGUUAAUCCAAGAUCCCCACAGUUUCUGAGUUAAAUUUGCUAGCGAUCUGUUUGUCCAUUAAUUAUUGUCAGCUGUUCUUUAAAUUAGUAAUUUUCCAUCUCCAGUAUACUGAUGGGCAGUGAUAGCAUCACGUCUUGUGUUCAUUUUACAGCAUAAGGUCAAUCUCCAUCUGUAAUACCGCAAUACAGGCUGCCCUGAUGUACUCAUUUCUAGCAUUAAGAAAUAUAUGGAAAGCUCUGACCUAGCCUUAAUUAUACAGCUGUGAUAUCUCCGUAGCAGGCAACACUGGGAGCAAAUAAUUGCCUCAGGAAAGACUUGUGUAUUCUUCAGACUUACGUGGUGUUUGUUUACCACUUUCCAUUAUUAUUUGUGUCCAUUUUUUUGUCUUUUUUCCUCUUUGCUUCUGUUUUGCUUCUUUGGGACAAUUUCAGUUGAUUGCUUGAGGUUUGGUGGGCAGUUAUCUAGCCCUGAUACUUCAAUACCCACAAUGGCUGAAUUAAUAAACACAUGAAAUCUAAUUAUCUAUUAAGCUUGAAGGAAAGCUAUGGAAAUCCUUAGAAAAGGGAAAAUUCUCUUUUCAACAUCUAUUUCACUGCAAAUUCUUGAGAUAACUGCACGGGGGAAAAUGGUCCCAGAGCAACUUUUCAUAGGACACAGAGCAUGGAGCUGGGAUUUUCUGAGAACUGCAGUGUGAUUCAUAUCAGAGCUGACGGCAACACGAUACGGCAGCUACCCUCAGCUCAGGAGAUUGCAAAGCCCAUUUGUGUCUGCAUGUCCCAGAAUAGCACUAUGAACCAUACGUUAGAUGACAUGCAAUGACUAUUUACAGCAGACCAAAGAAUAGCCUGUGACAGAUAUCAGCUAGAGCUUAUUUUAAGCCCAGAUGCGUUUUCCUGAUUAGCUUUUGUUAAUGAAUUGCAAGAUAUGCCACUGUAAACAAAGUCUGAAAACGCUGGAUUUACACUGGGAUGCUCUGUAGUGGCAGAUCUGUGGUUUGCAGGCACUUCUGCUUAGCACAGAGAUAACAGGAAAAAGGAGGGUGUUUAGUCUGCCAGGCAAGGGUUUAUCUGUGAAGUUCCCAAGAGAAAGUUUGUCACCUGGUUAUGGAACUUCAGUGUUUUUCCCAUUUUUGUUAACAUUAUCUUCAAAAGUCUAAGAACUUCUGUUACAUUUUGUUCUUGGAAUAAUUGACAUCUAUUUUAAAAGGGUCAGACAGCAUCUUUAGCAGCACCUUAUUCUCUUUUCAGCUCUCCGUAAUUUAAAUCAUGCUUAUUGUUCAAAAGUCAAGCGCUGAAAAACUGUAGGAAAAACCCAGUGAGGUGUUGUCCCUGCCACUACUUUGCUCUUCCAUCUUGAAGUCGCUUUCCCUACUGCAAAAUAGUCUUCAUCAGAGCACCCCGUGUGGGGCCGUGGAGCUCCCUCACCCCUUGCACCCCUCAGGCAGCUCGGCUGCUCCGGCUGCUCGCUGCUGGCAGCGCACCAGGACCACAGCCCAGCGCGGUCAGCUGCGCGGAGGAGCAGCCGGAGCCGCUCAGCGCCUCGAGGCGUGAGUCCUUCAGUGCCGACCGCCCGGUGACGCCAGUCUGUCGUUGCCCCACAGCCCCGUGCUGGCAGCUUUGCUCGUUUCGAAAAUGAAAGUGAAAAAAAAAAGAGGAAACGCAAUGAUAUUCUGGUUCUUGACUGUGCCUCGAGUAUGUGCUGCGUGAUAUUCUCCGCCCAGAACGGCAGGCUUGUUUUAUUCACUGGCCCUUCCCCAUAAGCUCAAGGACGUCGGAGGUUAAGCACUUCAUUAUUGUUCCGUCAUUAGCACCAUGAUGCAAUUCCCAGCCCACGUACAGCUGCCAAAGCGGUGUCACUGAGCGUGCUGCAAGGAAUUGCAGGCACUCAGAGCUGUCUUUGGGGCAAGAGUCCUUCCUGGUUUAAAUAUUGAGUUUCUCUACCAUGUGUUUUCUGUAUCAUUAAAACAAAGAGCAGAGUUGUAAAUAAAAGAUUGGGAAUUUCGAAA
Lagopus leucura (white-tailed ptarmigan) is the source of this 4935-nucleotide long non-coding RNA. RefSeq lists it as uncharacterized. The record is from RefSeq and is a predicted model, not a curated record. NCBI's taxonomy places the organism in Eukaryota, Metazoa, Chordata, Aves, Galliformes, Phasianidae. The transcript has 2 exons.